RNAcentral lists this ribosomal RNA (254 nucleotides) under uncultured bacterium. Its description in RNAcentral is "partial 16S ribosomal RNA". It matches the Rfam family "Bacterial small subunit ribosomal RNA", at positions 524 to 776 of the family's 1533-position model. The record is from RNAcentral.
UACGUAGGUGGCAAGCGUUGUCCGGAUUUACUGGGCGUAAAGAGCGCGCAGGCGGUCGUUCAAGUCGCGUGUGAAAGCCCCCGGCUCAACUGGGGAGGGGUCAUUCGAUACUGAUCGACUCGAAGGCAGGAGAGGGUAGUGGAAUUCCCGGUGUAGUGGUGAAAUGCGUAGAUAUCGGGAGGAACACCAGUGGCGAAGGCGACUACCUGGCCUGUUCUUGACGCUGAGGCGCGAAAGCUAGGGGAGCAAACGGG